GGUUGUGGUCAGUGGUAGGGUGCUUGCUUAGCAUGUGUGAGGCCCUGGGUUCGAUCCUCAGCACCA
RNAcentral lists this transfer RNA (66 nucleotides) under Marmota monax (woodchuck). RNAcentral describes it as "tRNA.Ala". Lineage: Eukaryota; Metazoa; Chordata; Mammalia; Rodentia; Sciuridae. The record is from RNAcentral.